AGUGAACGCUGGCGGUAGGCCUAACACAUGCAAGUCGAACGGCAGCACAGUAAGAGCUUGCUCUUACGGGUGGCGAGUGGCGGACGGGUGAGGAAUACAUCGGAAUCUACUUUUUCGUGGGGGAUAACGUAGGGAAACUUACGCUAAUACCGCAUACGACCUACGGGUGAAAGCAGGGGAUCUUCGGACCUUGCGCGAUUGAAUGAGCCGAUGUCGGAUUAGCUAGUUGGCGGGGUAAAGGCCCACCAAGGCGACGAUCCGUAGCUGGUCUGAGUGGAUGAUCAGACAAACUGGAACUGAGACACGGUCCAGACUCCGACGGGAGGCAGCAGUGGGGAAUAUUGGACAAUGGGAGCAAGCAUGAUCCAGCAAUACCGCGUGGGUGAAGAAGGCCUUCGGGUUGUAAAGCCCUUUUGUUGGGAAAGAAAAGCAGCAGGUUAAUACCCCGCUGUUCUGACGGUACCCAAAGAAUAAGCACCGGCUAACUUCGUG
This 492-nucleotide ribosomal RNA is filed under the name uncultured bacterium. Its description in RNAcentral is "partial 16S ribosomal RNA". It matches the Rfam family "Bacterial small subunit ribosomal RNA", at positions 29 to 507 of the family's 1533-position model. The record is from RNAcentral.